Molecule: ribosomal RNA, 1206 nt
Filed under: metagenome
Description: bacterial SSU rRNA
Rfam family: Bacterial small subunit ribosomal RNA
Source: RNAcentral
UGAUCCGCCACACUGGAACUGAGACACGGUCCAGACUCCUACGGGAGGCAGCAGUGGGGAAUUUUGGACAAUGGGGGCAACCCCGAUCCAGCCAUGCCGCGUGAGUGAAGAAGGCCUUCGGGUUGUAAAGCUCUUUCGGCCGGGAAGAAAUCGCAUGGGCCAAUACCCUGUGUGGAUGACGGUACCGGAAUAAGAAGCACCGGCUAACUACGUGCCAGCAGCCGCGGUAAUACGUAGGGUGCGAGCGUUAAUCGGAAUUACUGGGCGUAAAGCGUGCGCAGGCGGUUUUGUAAGACAGGCGUGAAAUCCCCGGGCUUAACCUGGGAACUGCGUUUGUGACUGCAAGGCUAGAGUACGGCAGAGGGGGGUGGAAUUCCACGUGUAGCAGUGAAAUGCGUAGAGAUGUGGAGGAACACCAAUGGCGAAGGCAGCCCCCUGGGUCGAUACUGACGCUCAUGCACGAAAGCGUGGGUAGCAAACAGGAUUAGAUACCCUGGUAGUCCACGCCCUAAACUAUGUCAACUAGGUGUUGGGUGGGUAAAACCAUUUAGUACCGUAGCUAACGCGUGAAGUUGACCGCCUGGGGAGUACGGCCGCAAGGUUAAAACUCAAAGGAAUUGACGGGGACCCGCACAAGCGGUGGAUGAUGUGGAUUAAUUCGAUGCAACGCGAAAAACCUUACCUACCCUUGACAUGCCAGGAACUUGCCAGAGAUGGCUUGGUGCCCGAAAGGGAGCCUGGACACAGGUGCUGCAUGGCUGUCGUCAGCUCGUGUCGUGAGAUGUUGGGUUAAGUCCCGCAACGAGCGCAACCCUCGUCGUUAAUUGCCAUCAUUUAGUUGGGCACUUUAACGAGACUGCCGGUGACAAACCGGAGGAAGGUGGGGAUGACGUCAAGUCCUCAUGGCCCUUAUGGGUAGGGCUUCACACGGCAUACAAUGGUCGGUACAAAGGGUUGCCAAGCCGCGAGGCGGAGCCAAUCCCAGAAAGCCGAUCGUAGUCCGGAUUGCAGGCUGCAACUCGCCUGCAUGAAGUCGGAAUCGCUAGUAAUCGUGGAUCAGCAUGUCACGGUGAAUACGUUCCCGGGUCUUGUACACACCGCCCGUCACACCAUGGGAGCGGGUUCCGCCAGAAGUAGGUAGCCUAACCGCAAGGGGGGCGCUUACCACGGCGGGGUUCGUGACUGGGGUGAAGUCGUAACAAGGUA